UUUGUUUUGUCCUGUAUGAACUUUGAUGGUGGAUUUGGGUGCAGACCAGGCUCUGAAUCUCACGCAGGACAGUUACCAGAUGUGUGCUAUUCCUGGUGGGUGUUGCCUCCUUAAAGAUAAUUGGGAGACUUCAUUGGAUUGACAGAGAAAAGCUUGAAGCUUCAUCUUGGCAUGUCAAGAUGAAGAGACAGGAGGGUUUGCAGACAGGCCAGGAGACAUGGUGGAUCCCUUUCACACCUUGUUUGGCAUUGCUGGAUUGUCACUUCUGGGGGAAGAGCAGAUCAAGCCUGUCAGCCCUGUCUUUUGCAUGCCUGAAGAAGUGCUGCAGAGGGUGAAUGUCCAGCCUGAACUAGUGAGCUAGUACGAGGGGAAGAGCCUUCAGUGUGCAGUAUCAGUUACUGUGGUUAUCAAACCCAGAAGUGACUUAAUAUUUUGUAUAUCAUAUGUCAAUGAUAAAUUAUAUAAGUAUUGUAAAAUAAAUGUCAUAUUUAGAUCUUUAGUGUUCUGAGUACAGUUUCUGUCAAUACUGUUUGUUAAUGUCUAACAGCAACAAACUUAAAGCUAGUAUUUAACUGCCACCUCCCUGUGUCCUUUUGACCUGUAACAAUGAUGGGAAAUGAUUUCUGUUAAUAAAGAUGAUCAAAGUGAGUGAAACUCAUGAUUUAAAUAAAAGAUGCAUAAAAU
This is an RNA transcript of Rattus rattus (black rat), 684 nucleotides long. It is a transcript of the gene named geranylgeranyl transferase type-2 subunit beta-like, with no coding region annotated. The transcript is spliced from 3 exons. The record is from RefSeq and is a predicted model, not a curated record. NCBI's taxonomy places the organism in Eukaryota, Metazoa, Chordata, Mammalia, Rodentia, Muridae.